Molecule: long non-coding RNA, 571 nt
Filed under: Numida meleagris (helmeted guineafowl)
Lineage: Eukaryota; Metazoa; Chordata; Aves; Galliformes; Numididae
Description: lncRNA (ENSNMEG00000021418.1)
Source: RNAcentral
AUGUGCUGCCAGUCUUGUAUGCUCCUCCUGAGACAGUGGUUGGCUUUUAAGGCAAUUAACAGAUUCCAAGAGUUCCUUUUGGAAAGUGGAAGAAGAGAACAAUCCCCUAUUAAAUUCCAAAGUCUGCCACUUCUGAAACUCAUUGCACUACUAGCUGCUCUGAUUAAGUGGCUCCUCAUUUCAGUUGAGGGAAGUACAAAUUGGCACCCUGGGCUCCCACAGUUACCUCUGGGUCUUUCUCAUGGGAAAUGCUUGGGAGCUGAGCACUAAAGCUAACAGAUGCCCAGCCUCAUGUCGGAACCAGAUCGAGCCACCACUGAGAUGAUAUCCAGCUCCUUUCUUAUUGAGCCGUUUCCCUAGCAGAUGGUGCAAUGCUGCAGGCACACUCCUUCCUGUUAAUUACCAGCCUUCGCUACAGAUGGAAAUGUCAGUCAGCCUCACAGGUCCUGGUUCCUGCCAUUGCCUCAGUCCAUAGCCCUCUACCUAGGCAAGAUGCUGCCAACACACACCAUGUGUUUUGUGACUGCUGACUAGGCAGGCAACAAAAAACAACUUAGUUCAUGAAUAUUCA